UGAGGGAUAUUGGGCAAUGGGGGAAACCCUGACCCAGCAACGCCGCGUGAGGGAAGAAGGUCUUCGGAUUGUAAACCUAAGUAGUCAGGGACGAAGAAAUGACGGUACCUGAAGAGUAAGCUCCGGCUAACUACGUGCCAGCAGCCGCGGUAAUACGUAGGGAGCGAGCGUUGUCCGGAUUUACUGGGUGUAAAGGGUGCGUAGGCGGGCUGUCAAGUCAGAUGUGAAAUACCGGAGCUCAACUCCGGGGCUGCAUUUGAAACUGAUGGUCUUGAGUGAAGUAGAGGCAGGCGGAAUUCCUAGUGUAGCGGUGAAAUGCGUAGAUAUUAGGAGGAACACCAGUGGCGAAGGCGGCCUGCUGGGCUUUAACUGACGCUGAGGCACGAAAGCAUGGGGAGCAAACA
Molecule: ribosomal RNA, 404 nt
Filed under: uncultured bacterium
Lineage: Bacteria
Description: bacterial SSU rRNA
Rfam family: Bacterial small subunit ribosomal RNA
Source: RNAcentral